UACGAAGGUGGCAAGCGUUGUUCGGAUUUACUGGGCGUACAGGGAGCGUAGGCGGUUGGAUAAGCCCUCCGUGAAAUCUCCAGGCUUAACCUGGAAAGUGCAGAGGGGACUGUUCAGCUAGAGGAUGGGAGAGGAGCGCGGAAUUCCCGGUGUAGCGGUGAAAUGCGCAGAUAUCAGGAGGAACACCAGUGGCGAAGGCGGUGCUCUGGGCCGGAACUGACGCUGAGGAGCGAAAGCGUGGGGAGCAAACAGG
This 253-nucleotide ribosomal RNA is filed under the name uncultured bacterium. Its description in RNAcentral is "partial 16S ribosomal RNA". It matches the Rfam family "Bacterial small subunit ribosomal RNA", at positions 524 to 776 of the family's 1533-position model. The record is from RNAcentral.